This 1392-nucleotide ribosomal RNA is filed under the name metagenome. Its description in RNAcentral is "bacterial SSU rRNA". It matches the Rfam family "Bacterial small subunit ribosomal RNA". The record is from RNAcentral.
AGAGUUUGAUCCUGGCUCAGGAUGAACGCUAGCUACAGGCUUAACACAUGCAAGUCGAGGGGCAGCAUGGUCUUAGCUUGCUAAGGCCGAUGGCGACCGGCGCACGGGUGAGUAACACGUAUCCAACCUGCCGUCUACUCUUGGACAGCCUUCUGAAAGGAAGAUUAAUACAAGAUGGCAUCAUGAGUCCGCAUGUUCACAUGAUUAAAGGUAUUCCGGUAGACGAUGGGGAUGCGUUCCAUUAGAUAGUAGGCGGGGUAACGGCCCACCUAGUCUUCGAUGGAUAGGGGUUCUGAGAGGAAGGUCCCCCACAUUGGAACUGAGACACGGUCCAAACUCCUACGGGAGGCAGCAGUGAGGAAUAUUGGUCAAUGGGCGAGAGCCUGAACCAGCCAAGUAGCGUGAAGGAUGACUGCCCUAUGGGUUGUAAACUUCUUUUAUAAAGGAAUAAAGUCGGGUAUGCAUACCCGUUUGCAUGUACUUUAUGAAUAAGGAUCGGCUAACUCCGUGCCAGCAGCCGCGGUAAUACGGAGGAUCCGAGCGUUAUCCGGAUUUAUUGGGUUUAAAGGGAGCGUAGAUGGAUGUUUAAGUCAGUUGUGAAAGUUUGCGGCUCAACCGUAAAAUUGCAGUUGAUACUGGAUAUCUUGAGUGCAGUUGAGGCAGGCGGAAUUCGUGGUGUAGCGGUGAAAUGCUUAGAUAUCACGAAGAACUCCGAUUGCGAAGGCAGCCUGCUAAGCUGCAACUGACAUUGAGGCUCGAAAGUGUGGGUAUCAAACAGGAUUAGAUACCCUGGUAGUCCACACGGUAAACGAUGAAUACUCGCUGUUUGCGAUAUACAGCAAGCGGCCAAGCGAAAGCGUUAAAUAUUCCACCUGGGGAGUACGCCGGCAACGGUGAAACUCAAAGGAAUUGACGGGGGCCCGCACAAGCGGAGGAACAUGUGGUUUAAUUCGAUGAUACGCGAGGAACCUUACCCGGGCUUAAAUUGCAGAUGAAUUACGGUGAAAGCCGUAAGCCGCAAGGCAUCUGUGAAGGUGCUGCAUGGUUGUCGUCAGCUCGUGCCGUGAGGUGUCGGCUUAAGUGCCAUAACGAGCGCAACCCUUGUUGUCAGUUACUAACAGGUCAUGCUGAGGACUCUGACAAGACUGCCAUCGUAAGAUGUGAGGAAGGUGGGGAUGACGUCAAAUCAGCACGGCCCUUACGUCCGGGGCUACACACGUGUUACAAUGGGGGGUACAGAGGGCCGCUACCACGCGAGUGGAUGCCAAUCCCCAAAACCUCUCUCAGUUCGGACUGGAGUCUGCAACCCGACUCCACGAAGCUGGAUCCGCUAGUAAUCGCGCAUCAGCCACGGCGCGGUGAAUACGUUCCCGGGCCUUGUACACACCGCCC